UGUUUCGGCUAGGGGGUCAUCCCGACUUACCAACCCGAUGCAAACUACGAAUACCGAAGAAUGUUAUCACGGGAGACACACGGCGGGUGCUAACGUCCGUCGUGAAGAGGGAAACAACCCAGACCGCCAGCUAAGGUCCCAAAGUCAUGGUUAAGUGGGAAACGAUGUGGGAAGGCCCAGACAGCCAGGAUGUUGGCUUAGAAGCAGCCAUCAUUUAAAGAAAGCGUAAUAGCUCACUGGUCGAGUCGGCCUGCGCGGAAGAUGUAACGGGGCUAAACCAUGCACCGAAGCUGCGGCAGCGACGCUUAUGCGUUGUUGGGUAGGGGAGCGUUCUGUAAGCCGUUGAAGGUGGCCUGUGAGGGUUGCUGGAGGUAUCAGAAGUGCGAAUGCUGACAUAAGUAACGAUAAUGCGGGUGAAAAACCCGCACGCCGGAAGACCAAGGGUUCCUGUCCAACGUUAAUCGGGGCAGGGUGAGUCGACCCCUAAGGCGAGGCCGAAAGGCGUAGUCGAUGGGAAACAGGUUAAUAUUCCUGUACUCGGUGUUACUGCGAAGGGGGGACGGAGAAGGCUAUGUUGGCCGGGCGACGGUUGUCCCGGUUUAAGCAUGUAGGCGGAUGUU
RNAcentral lists this ribosomal RNA (620 nucleotides) under Klebsiella michiganensis. Its description in RNAcentral is "partial 23S ribosomal RNA". It matches the Rfam family "Bacterial large subunit ribosomal RNA", at positions 911 to 1532 of the family's 2925-position model. The record is from RNAcentral. Lineage: Bacteria; Pseudomonadati; Pseudomonadota; Gammaproteobacteria; Enterobacterales; Enterobacteriaceae.